UACGAAGGGGGCUAGCGUUGUUCGGAAUCACUGGGCGUAAAGCGCACGCAGGCGGAUCGUUAAGUCGGGGGUGAAAUCCCGAGGCUCAACCUCGGAACUGCCUUCGAUACUGGCGAUCUUUGAGUCCGGGAGAGGUGAGUGGAACUCCGAGUGUAGAGGUGAAAUUCGUAGAUAUUCGGAAGAACACCAGUGGCGAAGGCGGCUCACUGGCCCGGUACUGACGCUCAGGUGCGAAAGCGUGGGGAGCGAACAGG
This 254-nucleotide ribosomal RNA is filed under the name uncultured bacterium. RNAcentral's name for it is "partial 16S ribosomal RNA". It matches the Rfam family "Bacterial small subunit ribosomal RNA", at positions 524 to 776 of the family's 1533-position model. The record is from RNAcentral.